CCGGCACGGGUGAGUAACACGUAUCCAACCUGCCGUCUACUCUUGGACAGCCUUCUGAAAGGAAGAUUAAUACAAGAUGGCAUCAUGAGUCCACAUGUUCACAUGAUUAAAGGUAUUCCGGUAGACGAUGGGGACGCGUUCCAUUAGAUAGUAGGCGGGGUAACGGCCCACCUAGUCUUCGAUGGAUAGGGGUUCUGAGAGGAAGGUCCCCCACAUUGGAACUGAGACACGGUCCAA
Molecule: ribosomal RNA, 237 nt
Filed under: uncultured bacterium
Lineage: Bacteria
Description: partial 16S ribosomal RNA
Rfam family: Bacterial small subunit ribosomal RNA
Source: RNAcentral